RNAcentral lists this ribosomal RNA (370 nucleotides) under uncultured bacterium. Its description in RNAcentral is "bacterial SSU rRNA". It matches the Rfam family "Bacterial small subunit ribosomal RNA", at positions 527 to 895 of the family's 1533-position model. The record is from RNAcentral.
GGAGGGUGCGAGCGUUGUUCGGAAUCACUGGGCGUAAAGGGCGUGUAGGCGGUCCGCUAAGUCUGAUGUGAAAGCCCGGGGCUCACCCCCGGAAGGGCAUUGGAAACUGACGGACUCGAGUCCCGAAGAGGAGGGUGGAAUUCCUGGUGUAGCGGCGAAAUGCGUAGAUAUCAGGAGGAACACCGGUGGCGAAGGCGGCCCUCUGGACGGUGACUGACGCUGAGACGCGAAAGCGUGGGGAGCAAACAGGAUUAGAUACCCUGGUAGUCCACGCUGUAAACGAUGAGCACUAGGUGUCGUGGGUAUUGACCCCCGCGGUGCCGCAGCUAACGCAUUAAGUGCUCCGCCUGGGGACUACGGCCGCAAGGUU